RNAcentral lists this ribosomal RNA (726 nucleotides) under uncultured bacterium. Its description in RNAcentral is "bacterial SSU rRNA". It matches the Rfam family "Bacterial small subunit ribosomal RNA", at positions 56 to 774 of the family's 1533-position model. The record is from RNAcentral.
UGCAGUCGAGGGGUAGCAGUUCUCUAGCAAUAGAGAAGCUGACGACCGGCGCACGGGUGAGUAACACGUAUCCAACCUGCCUUAUACACGGGGAUAGCCUUUCGAAAGAAAGAUUAAUAUCCGAUGGCAUCAUUUUUCCUCAUGGAUGAAUGAUUAAAGAAUUUCGGUAUAAGAUGGGGAUGCGUUCCAUUAGAUUGUUGGCGGGGUAACGGCCCACCAAGUCCACGAUGGAUAGGGGUUCUGAGAGGAAGGUCCCCCACAUUGGAACUGAGACACGGUCCAAACUCCUACGGGAGGCAGCAGUGAGGAAUAUUGGUCAAUGGGCGCGAGCCUGAACCAGCCAAGUAGCGUGAGGGAUGAAGGCUCUAUGGGUCGUAAACCUCUUUUAUAUGGGAAUAAAGUGGAGUAUGUAUACUCUUUUGUAUGUACCAUAUGAAUAAGGAUCGGCUAACUCCGUGCCAGCAGCCGCGGUAAUACGGAGGAUCCGAGCGUUAUCCGGAUUUAUUGGGUUUAAAGGGAGCGUAGGUGGAUAUAUAAGUCAGUUGUGAAAGUUUGCGGCUCAACCGUAAAAUUGCAAUUGAUACUGUAUAUCUUGAGUACAGUAGAGGUGGGCGGAAUUCGUGGUGUAGCGGUGAAAUGCUUAGAUAUCACGAAGAACUCCAAUUGCGAAGGCAGCUCACUAGACUGGUCACUGACACUGAUGCUCGAAAGUGUGGGUAUCAAACA